RNAcentral lists this transfer RNA (72 nucleotides) under Anguilla anguilla (European eel). It matches the Rfam family "tRNA". Rfam says of the family: Transfer RNA (tRNA) molecules are approximately 80 nucleotides in length. Their secondary structure includes four short double-helical elements and three loops (D, anti-codon, and T loops). Lineage: Eukaryota; Metazoa; Chordata; Actinopteri; Anguilliformes; Anguillidae. The record is from Rfam by way of RNAcentral.
GACCUCGUGGCGCAACGGUAGCGCGUCUGACUCCAGCUCAGAUGGUUGCGUGUUCAAAUCAUGUUGAGGUCA